UACGUAGGGGGCAAGCGUUAUCCGGAUUUACUGGGUGUAAAGGGAGCGUAGGCGGCAAGGUAAGCCAGAAGUGAAAGCCCGCGGCUCAACUGCGGGACUGCUUUUGGAACUAUCUAGCUAGAUUGCAGGAGAGGUAAGCGGAAUUCCUGGUGUAGCGGUGAAAUGCGUAGAUAUCAGGAGGAACACCGGCGGCGAAGGCGGCUUACUGGACUGUAACUGACGUUGAGGCUCGAAGGCGUGGGGAGCAAACAGG
This 253-nucleotide ribosomal RNA is filed under the name uncultured Eubacteriales bacterium. RNAcentral describes it as "uncultured Clostridiales bacterium partial 16S ribosomal RNA". It matches the Rfam family "Bacterial small subunit ribosomal RNA", at positions 524 to 776 of the family's 1533-position model. Lineage: Bacteria; Bacillati; Bacillota; Clostridia; Eubacteriales. The record is from RNAcentral.